Non-coding RNA from Danio rerio (zebrafish), 2203 nucleotides. The record is from RefSeq and is a predicted model, not a curated record. Lineage: Eukaryota; Metazoa; Chordata; Actinopteri; Cypriniformes; Danionidae.
CAUCAAGCUUUUUCUAUAUUGGUCCUACAGGAAAAAAUAAAAGUGGGUAAAAUGUUUGAGAAAAAAAUUGAUAACCAACUGAUCAUACUCUUGGCGAAGUUAAACCAUUUUACAUGAAGUGUUUUAGAAGUUGUUGCUCCAGUAAUGUUGCGGUAGUUUGACAGACAAGAGCAGCAACCAUUUUCUUUUUUUGUUUUUACAGAACCACCUGAAUCAUCCCAAAAAAUUCAUAAAGUACACCAUGAUAAAGACGAUGACAAUGACCUUUCUGUUGUUGCGGUGGAAACCAUAACUCCAGAACCAGGUGAGUUUGUAUUUACUUAGAAAGAAAUUACUUUGAAUGUGCAAUCAUGGUAUAAGAUAGACCAAGCCAACGUAUUUGAAAAUGAACCACAUCUACCACAACUGUUUGCUGAAAUGUUUUAGCUUUAACAAAAAAAAAAAAAAAAAAACAGCCAAUACCAGUCUUGUUCUAUUGUACUUUUAUGGAAAUAUAAAUACUUGAUCUUGCACUAAUGCCACUUUUAUAUACUCCAUAUUACACAAGGUAAAUUUUUAGUUAUUUAGCAGGCACUUGUAUGUACCAUUAUGUACCAGAUGUAUGUACCAGAUGUAUGUACCAUAACUGUAUUUUGCUACAUUGUUUGUUUUUAAAGGACAAGAUGAUGGGUCUUCCUCUAUGGUGGAAAAAGACAAGCUGAUGCUCAUGGCCCAGACAAUACAAACACUUAAACAGGAACGAGAUUUUCUCCGCCAAACUGUCCUAAAAUUGUCAAACAGAGGGGCAAAAAAAGUAAAGAAAGUCUUGGACACAAGCACUGAAUGCAGCACCAGUAACACUGAUGAGGAGUCCAUGACUUCUUCCUCCUCUUCAGAUUCACCUGAUAGUGAUAUUCCUCGGAAGAAGAGAAAGAGUCAUAAGAAGACAAAGAGGGCCAGCAGGUCAAAAUCUACCAAGCACAGCACACGUGCUUUUAUCUUUCUACAGCAACAACCCCUGAUGACGUACUAAGGCGGUACAACAAAGUUUUCAAUGCCUAUAAAAAAGAAGGGAGCAUUAGUAAAGCAUGUGCCAAAGUUGGGGUUGACCGUAAUACUCUCGCAUUAACAGCUGUUGUGGCUGAAAUUCAGCUUGUUGAUGCUGAGUUUUACAGAAGCAUCCCUAAAUUCAGAACCGAGGAGAAACUUUUUGACUUUGCCAAGAGGUGCCUGCAGUCGCUGACAACAGACUUAAAAUCUGUCAUUGAAAACGCCAAACAAGAGCGCAAACUUCUGCCAAUAAAGUAUAAGUUCAGAUAGAAAUAUACAAAUCUCUUAUGUGCAGAUGUUGUUUAAAGUUAAAUUGUAGAUUCACAUCAGUAGUUAUUAAUUGUUACCCCAUUUGUCGUUCCAACCCCUGAGACCUGAAAUGACACUGAAGAGAAUAAAAUGUAAAAUAAUGCGUUUUUUGUCCACACAAAAGUAUUAUCAUAGCUUCAUAGCAUUACAAUUGAACCACUGAAGACAAAUGUACUCUUUUGAUGUUAUUGGUACUGUAUCUUUCUAGACUUUAAAUGCCUUGCAACUCUGGCUUUCUAUGGAGGGUCAGAUAAUUCUAAAAUAUAUAUAAUAUAAUAAUAUAUAAUGAUAAUAAUAAUAAUAAAUAAUCAGCUAAAAUAUUUUUACAAAUAAAAUAAAAAAGUAGAUUUUUUUAUUUUAUUUUCUGAAUGAAGGACUCAGGUUUGGAAUAACAGCAGGGGGAGUAAUUAAUAAUUUCAUUUUUGGGUAAACUAUCCCUUCAAUGUGAAUUGCUGUACGUUUAAUGUGAUAUGAUGUUACUUCCAACAUUUAUCUAAAAGUUUUAAUUUACUCUAAGAUUUUUUUUGUUUAUGGCAUUAUGUUUAAUCUCUUUAAUUUAAUAGUGUCUGUAAGGUUCUAUAUUGCAGCCAUAUUUCUAAGGUUUUUCUUUAUGUGUUGCACUGUUGAGAAUAAAAAUGUUAAUAAACAUUGUUUACCUUUGCUGCAUGUUUUCUCUUUUUUAGUCCUCUAUAGUCUACUUAUUGAAAAACAUUUGUGGAUUAAUACUUUGGAAUUUAAUACUAUUACUUUUAGGUUCACAGUUACAAUAGAAUUAACAUGGAACAUUUCAGAAUGUAGGUGAGAAGUACAUGGAUUCAUCAGUGGAUGAAUCAGUAAUUUGUGACAAAUUUACACUUGAGUGGAC